GAAUUUUGGACAAUGGGCGACAGCCUGAUCCAGCAAUGCCGCGUGCAGGAUGAAGGCCUUCGGGUUGUAAACUGCUUUUGUACGGAACGAAAAGCUUUGGGUUAAUACCCUGGAGUCAUGACGGUACCGUAAGAAUAACCACCGGCUAACUAAUUGCAAGCAGCCCCGGUAAUACGAAGGGUGCAAGCGUUACUCGGAAUUACUGGGCGUAAAGCGUGCGCAGGCGGUUUUGUAAGACAGAGGUGAAAUCCCCGGGCUCAAACUGGGAACUGCGUUUGUGACUGCAAGGCUAGAGUACAGCAGAGGGGGGUGGAAUUCCGCGUGUAGCAGUGAAAUGCGUAGAUAUGCGGAGGAACACCGAUGGCGAAGGCAACCCCCUGGGCCUGUACUGACGCUCAUGCACGAAAGCGUGGGGAGCAAACA
This 423-nucleotide ribosomal RNA is filed under the name uncultured bacterium. RNAcentral's name for it is "partial 16S ribosomal RNA". It matches the Rfam family "Bacterial small subunit ribosomal RNA", at positions 359 to 774 of the family's 1533-position model. The record is from RNAcentral.